Oreochromis aureus is the source of this 541-nucleotide long non-coding RNA. RefSeq lists it as uncharacterized. Lineage: Eukaryota; Metazoa; Chordata; Actinopteri; Cichliformes; Cichlidae. The transcript has 3 exons. The record is from RefSeq and is a predicted model, not a curated record.
UGCAUCAGUGGCAAACUUGCCACUUCAUGUACGCUCAGACACAGAUCACAUGUCUCUUGUCUUACUGUGCAGGGAGAAAGAUUUUAAAGAGUUUGGUCAUUCUAAUGUGUUCUCUGAAUUACUGGCAGACUUGAAAGAAUUGGAGGACAGUGGGAUUGUUGCAUCAGAUGAAACUAGAGUCAAAGGAACUUUGUUUUGCAUUGCUGGUGAUAAUCUGGGUUCUCACUGUAUUGGUGGCUUCACUGAAAACUUUAGUUCUUCAAAGUACUUCUGCAGGUACUGCCUGAUAACGAAAUCUGAAUUUCAGGGUGCUGACCCAAAUCUGUGUGGACCAGAACGUACCAAAGAGAACUACAACUCUGCUGUUGAUCGCCUCCAGAUUGACAAUACACCAGACGUCGAAGGAGUGAAGUUCAGACACUGAAUUUGAGCAGAAACCAUAAGGAUACGCAAAGGACCUGUGACUCUCAGGAAAUGCAUCAAAUGAGAGGGACAGAUGAAACAGUUUCAAGACAAUGGCAGGAAAAACAUGCUGAAGAUU